This 253-nucleotide ribosomal RNA is filed under the name uncultured bacterium. RNAcentral describes it as "partial 16S ribosomal RNA". It matches the Rfam family "Bacterial small subunit ribosomal RNA", at positions 524 to 776 of the family's 1533-position model. The record is from RNAcentral.
UACGUAGGGUGCAAGCGUUGUCCGGAAUUAUUGGGCGUAAAGAGCUCGUAGGCGGUUUGUCGCGUCUGCUGUGAAAACUCGGGGCUUAACUCCGGGCCUGCAGUGGGUACGGGCAGACUAGAGUGCGGUAGGGGAGACUGGAAUUCCUGGUGUAGCGGUGAAAUGCGCAGAUAUCAGGAGGAACACCGGUGGCGAAGGCGGCAUCCUGGACCGACACUGACGCUGAGGAGCGAAAGCCAGGGGAGCAAACGGG